This 501-nucleotide ribosomal RNA is filed under the name uncultured bacterium. RNAcentral describes it as "partial 16S ribosomal RNA". It matches the Rfam family "Bacterial small subunit ribosomal RNA", at positions 29 to 507 of the family's 1533-position model. The record is from RNAcentral.
ACGAACGCUGGCGGCGUGCUUAACACAUGCAAGUCGAACGGUGAAGGGGCCUGCUUUUGUGGGCCCUGGAUGAGUGGCGAACGGGUGAGUAACACGUGAGUAACCUGCCCCCUUCUUCUGGAUAACCGCAUGAAAGUGUGGCUAAUACGGGAUAUUCUGGGUCUGUCGCAUGAUGGGUCUGGGAAAGAUUGCGCCUUUGGGUGUUUUUGGUGGGGGAUGGGCUCGCGGCCUAUCAGCUUGGUGGUGGGGUGAUGGCCUACCAAGGCGGUGACGGGUAGCCGGCCUGAGAGGGUGGACGGUCACACUGGGACUGGGACACGGCCCAGACUCCUACGGGAGGCAGCAGUGGGGAAUAUUGCACAAUGGGCGCAAGCCUGAUGCAGCGACGCCGCGUGAGGGAUGGAGGCCUUCGGGGUGUAAACCUCUUUCGCCAGUGAAGCAGGCCUGCUCCUUGUGGGUGGGUUGACGGUAGCUGGAUAAGAAGCGCCGGCUAACUACGUG